GAUAAGUGCUGAAAGCAUCUAAGCAUGAAGCCCCCCUCAAGAUGAGAUUUCCCAUUACGCAAGUAAGUAAGAUCCCUCAAAGACGAUGAGGUAGAUAGGUUCGAGGUGGAAGUGUGGUGACACAUGGAGCUGACGAAUACUAAUCGAUCGAGGACUUAACCAAAAA
This 166-nucleotide ribosomal RNA is filed under the name Lysinibacillus sphaericus CBAM5. RNAcentral describes it as "partial 23S ribosomal RNA". It matches the Rfam family "Bacterial large subunit ribosomal RNA", at positions 2763 to 2925 of the family's 2925-position model. Lineage: Bacteria; Bacillati; Bacillota; Bacilli; Caryophanales; Bacillaceae. The record is from RNAcentral.